GGUGACCGCUCCGCGCUCUCUCGGCGCUGCUGCGACGCGGUCGCUCCGCUCUCUCUCCUGCGAGGCGCGAGACGAGAGCCUCGCCACGCUUCUCCGGAGGUGCCGGGCUACCACCACCGCACCACCACCGCGAAUCACAUAAACUCGGUGCCGGGGACUAAGCUCUGGCAGUCGCGAGCGGCCAACUCAUCGAGCGGGUGCUUCAGCGUGGGUGCUUGCGACGGUGCAGCGCGCGCAAAGGCGCAUUACACACACGCACACACACACACCUACACACACGCGCACAUAUACAUAAUACAUAUAUACACACACGUACACGGCCGCCACGUAUAGACACGAGGGUGUCCGCGCGCGCGCAGCCACGCGCGCGUACGCACUGCUCGCGCGUGCGACGCGUCGCAUCCCGCAGCGGGCGAAGCGACGGAGGAGCUUUAGGGACGCGAGAGAGCCGUGUACUCGUGCGAAGUAGCGUCAGUCGGGCUCGUGGGCAGAUGGUGGUGCGCGCAAGCUUGCGGAGAAUAAUCGAGACGGACGGCUGAGGGGGAAGAUCGACGUGCGAGCUCGGAGUGACGGAGCUUGCGGAGACGCGCUACUCUUCCUCGGGGUGAUCGCGGAGGCUUUCGAUCACCCGGAGCGUUCCCCCGGAGCCUCCGGGAUCGGCGAGUCGACUCGUCGCGAGGAAUGUACGUGUAGAGUCUGACAGAUUGGAUGCGUCGCGGGAGAAGCACGCGCGUCGCUUGCGUAAGAGAGCUUGGGUGGUCGCGCUCCGGCGAUCGGCAGGGGAGCCACGAGGAGGAAGUCUGGGACCACACGAAGAUAGACGCCGCGCUGUCAAAGUGCCCGAUGAACGAAUCUCGCUCGACGUUUGGCUACGAGCGAGUGACAAUCGCCUCUCUUUCUGUUCGGACGCGAAGCACGGCGAAACUUUAAGAAAGCACGCCGGGAAGCUGCGGACGCUCCUCUUUCGUUGACUGUUUGGUGUCUGCUCGUAAGCAUUUUCUCCUCUAUUCUAAAAGCGGCUUCGGCGAGGCUUUAUUUCCGAAUUUCGGCUCCGCGUGAGCGAGUUUACGAUUGUCCGCCCGGGUAAUAUACAAAAAGCUUCGUAGAAAGAAAUUCUCCUCGUCUUCAGCCAGCUGGCAUUCACGAGUGGAGAAACUUCAGCACUUUGAAGAAGAAAAAGCUGACGUCUCGAUACAUAGUGUCUUAAAUAAUAUUUUGUAAAUAGCUCUCUCUCUCUAUAUAUAUAUACAUAUAUGUAUAUAUACAUGAGCAUUACCUGAAGAGAAAUUUUCGAGAAAAAGCUAUAGUCUUUUCGCAAUUCUGAAUUUAUUGUCGCGUUGUAAUCGCCUUCAGCCUUCGAAACGAGCCUUCUCGUCGCGAAUAAAAGGAAAGCUUUUGUUACUUGUUAUCGCUAAAAAAACUUUCCCGACUCGAUAGGAGCGCGUAUCGAGUCCAGUCAAUGAAUAUGAUGUCGUCGAUAAUCGCCUUUUCGAGAAGUGCACUCGAGAAACUUACGUAGGGAUCGGACGAAGAGCUCGCAAGCUCGAGAAUGUAGUGUUCUAGUAGGUGCUUGCUGGCGGAGACUCAAGCUCAGACUGUCACGGUGGCCAAGCGAGCCGAAACAGGUGGAAGAUUUCCGGCGCGAUAUCCUGAAGAGCAUCACGAAGAGCUAUCGUGCGACUAUCGAUGAUGGUGGAAGGCACGUUGCCAGAACGCGAUUGGUUUGUCCGGCGCGCGUCUCCGCUCGGCUCGUGCUUUGCUACUACAUCAUUUCGUUAAGUUUCAUUUCUUUUUUUUUCUCGAGAACCAAGUAAGAAGGGAGAGAAAUUCCUCGAGGAAUGCCAGGCGCGAAAUGACGAAUUUCGGGCUGAUGCCCGAUCUUAGGCCGCCAACGCCUAAGCCGUCGUCGCAGAGAGGCAAAUAUCACUUCGCCAAUUAUUAAUGCGUCUCUCCGGGGUGUCAUUGCAACGCGCGAAAUUUAUAUGACGAAUACGGCAAAGUGGGGCAAGUCUCAGUUUCGAUAUUCUUGAGGAGCAAGAACGAUAAGAAAUUUUGGAAAAAAACUGGAAAUUUGUUCCCGGAAGGGGAAAAGCUUCGUUGAAACGAUUAAAUAUAACUAUCACGAGUAGAUAAAUAAAUAGAUACGUAGAUAAAUAAGAACAAAUAGGUGGAAAUAGAGCGGCUGCCGAUUGCGCGGGAGACGUGUAGCAAGUAGAGUUCUCAAAUAUAAGACAGUUAAGAUCGGAUUAGAAAAACGUUUUAAAAGCUGAGAAGAACUUGAAUUAAAAAUAGAGAUUAGCGGCGUGAAAACGUUCUUUGAGAGAUGUAGACUAAUAGUUAUACUAGUAAUCGCGCGGUGAACUUGAAGAAGCAUGAAUCAAACGAACGUCAGUUCAAGCUGACCUAAGAAGAGCCGAGGCAAGAAGUGACGUGUUCCACGCCACAAAUUGCAUAGAGAAGGUCUUUAAUUUUAUUGCAUCUGAACUUAGAGAAGGAAAUCUUUGGAGAGCUGCCAGUCGCGGAUGCAAAAAAAAAAUCGUUUUAAGUUCGUUGCAGAAAAGAUAUCUAGAGAACAUCGCCACGACGUAUUAACGAACAUUUCAACGGUGUUAUAAAUUUCAAUUCGUAAAUGCCGAGCCGGCGAAAAAACAUAUAUUUUCAAGAAUCUCCUUCGUCGAAAACAUUACUCGCGAUAGGAAGCUCGAUGCGGGUCGAAUCGUGGAUAUUAGACUUGUCGUAGCUCUAGAUCGCCAGUCUCUGAAGAGAGAGAGCAACGAUCCUGUCACAUCGACUCGACGAAGGUCGAGAGUAGAGCGUGCCACCGACACUUGGAGUAAAAUCGACACUGGCUCUUCCGCUACCCUGAAGAAAGAUUCCACCAUCAAGCAUGGCCUCGGUGGCAGCGUGGUUGCCAUUCGCCCGAGCGGCGGCGAUCGGCUGGGUGCCGAUUGCCACACAUCCACUGCCACCGCCGCCGAUCCCCAAGGAUCGACGAAAGGCCGACGACGAGAAACUGCUGAUCAACGUGAGCGGCCGUCGCUUCGAAACGUGGCGUAACACCCUAGAGAAGUAUCCGGAUACGCUGCUCGGCUCGAACGAGCGGGAGUUCUUCUACGACGAAGAUAGCAAGGAGUACUUCUUCGACCGAGAUCCGGACAUUUUCCGGCACAUUCUCAAUUAUUACCGGACCGGCAAAUUGCACUACCCGAAGCACGAAUGUCUGACGAGCUACGACGAGGAGCUGGCGUUCUUCGGCAUCCUGCCGGACGUGAUCGGUGACUGUUGCUACGAGGACUAUCGGGAUCGCAAGCGCGAGAACGCCGAGCGGCUGAUGGACGACAAGCUGAGCGAGAACGGCGAUCACACCCUCCAGCAGCUGCUUGACAUCCGGGAGAAGAUGUGGCGGGCAUUCCAGAAUCCGCACAUCUCCACCGCCGCGUUAGUCUUCUACUAUGUUACCGGGUUCUUCAUCGCUGUGAGCGUAUUGGCGAACGUGGUGGAGACCGUGCCGUGCGGGAAUCGUCCGGGUCGCGCCGGCACCCUCUCGUGCGGCGAACGCUACAAAAUCGUGUUCUUCUGCCUCGAUACCGCGUGCGUGAUGAUCUUCACGGCCGAGUACCUGCUCAGGCUGUUCGCCGCACCCAGCCGGUGCAAGUUCGCGCGCUCCGUGAUGUCGAUCAUCGACGUGGUCGCGAUAUUGCCCUAUUACAUCGGGCUCGGAAUCACCGACAACGACGACGUAUCGGGGGCGUUCGUGACGUUACGCGUGUUCCGCGUGUUCCGUAUCUUCAAGUUCUCGCGCCAUUCACAGGGACUACGGAUUCUGGGCUACACCCUAAAGUCCUGCGCAUCCGAGCUGGGUUUCCUCGUGUUCUCGCUUGCGAUGGCCAUCAUCAUCUUCGCCACCGUCAUGUUCUACGCGGAGAAGAACGUCGACGGCACUAACUUCACCUCGAUACCAUCCGCCUUCUGGUACACCAUCGUUACGAUGACUACGCUGGGCUACGGUGACAUGGUUCCGAAAACGAUUGCGGGAAAAAUCGUCGGGGGUGUAUGCUCCUUGAGCGGUGUCCUAGUGAUCGCUUUACCGGUUCCUGUUAUCGUCAGUAAUUUCAGCAGAAUAUAUCAUCAAAAUCAACGUGCUGACAAACGGAAGGCGCAGAGGAAAGCCAGAUUGGCACGCAUUAGAAUUGCGAAGGCGUCGAGCGGCGCCGCCUUCGUGAGCAAAAAGAAGGCAGCGGAGGCGCGUUUGGCCGCUCAGGAGAGCGGGCUGCAGCUGGAGGAGUUCUACAAAGAGGAGGAUAUCUUUGAGCUGCAGCAUCAUCACCUACUUCGUUGCUUAGAGAAGACCACGGACCGUGAAUUCGUGGAGAUGGAGGUGCCGUACAACGGUGCCCCGAAGAGGCCAGGCUCGCCGUCGCCCCUGACCUCCCCCGCGCACAGCACUGCCUCCAGGGGCGGCCUGCUGCAGUCCUGCUGCGGGCGCUGCUACCCCCAACGUUACCAGCCGAAGGAACAGCGGGAGCCUGUAGUGGAGCACCCACUUCAGAUCAGCCAGGACCUAAAGAAGCGCGAUUCGCACAUCUGCGACAUGCAGGCCCUACAGCCACUUCCGGCCCCCACCAACACCGCCAACACCGCGCCCGUCAUGACUACUUCCGGUGGACAACCACCGCUCCCGGUAUCGGAGACCGUUUGAAUCGCGACGAUCACGAGAACCGAUCACGAUCGUCUGUGUGUGAUAAUGCGUUAAUCAUGCAUUAUCACAUCACCACUCACCUAUAAAUUCACCGCCGUCCUCCUCCACACCUGUCUGCUUGCUGAACCCGAUGAACGAACCACGGUCGACUAUGGUCGAAGCAACGUAAUAAAAAUAAAUUGUUCGCAUCGAUGCCACGCGAAAUGGAUCAUCAUCAGGUUCAACAGCAUUCUAUUCGCGAUUGAUUCGCUUCUCAGAGGAUGUGGUGAUCGUUCGUUAUUUGACCUGAUUCACGGAGAAUCUUCAAGGAAGAUCCAGAUUAUCAUGGAUGUUCUUUCUCGAUCUACUCCGGCACGAAUCGAUCGUUAUCGAAGCGUGAGGAUCGACGCGCGGUUUAUCCUCUGUGAUAAUAAUCCUAUCAGGAUUUGCGUCGUUUCGCAGACUUUCGUUUAACAGAAAAAAAAAUAUAUCUCAUGUUAACAGACGCGUCCUCGUUGCAGCCGCAUAUCGGAUGGAUUUUUGUAGGGAGAGGAAAAUGUCGAGUUUUUCCUGCGGAAAGUCGUGCCGAUUUAUUGAAUUAAUCGAUUAAUUCACGCCAGCAGCGAGAGACGGGUUCGCGAAAUGGGUAACCCAGGUGUGGCUGAACGAUUGCGAUUAGGGUCGCGAAUUAUACGGGAUUUGUUCGUGUGGGAUCGUGUUCUCGAGGAUUUCGCACUACUACUUCGCGUCAGGCCGUUCCAUAAAUAAUGUUCUUUCUUAAAUGAGAUUCUUAAAAGAAAAGAAGAGACGUAUACCGUUUAUUGGAAUUAAAAAUAGUCAAAGAGGAUUUAUUAAUUAGUUAAGAUUAGAAAUUUAUUUACGCUAUAAUGAUGAUGUUACUUCACGUAAACUUCACGAUUUUUAAUGUUCAUUGUAACAGUUAUAUAUACGUAAAUAAUUGCUGCUAAGUUGAAGCUCGUACUUAGCUCUACAUACAAUCGUUUGACUCUUUUAUUGUCUUUAUAUUAAAAGAUUUAUCAUAUGGUAUAUUUUUGGAUAAUUACAAGGCAGAUACAAUCAACGAUCGACAGAAGAGAACUGUGAAUCUAGAUGUUUAUUUAAGAAUUAUAUAAUUUGAAAUUAUUUCCAGAGAAUAAAGCACUUUAUCUUUGGGAAUAUUAUAAUUUUACGAUCGAAGGAUUUUUUAGAGAAUAAAACUCAAAUACCAAUCUCAGCACUAUAUAUUUAUUAUAUAUAUGAUUUCUAAUUGUAUGAAUUACAUGCAGGGCACACAAUUCUGAUACUCUGUAGGUAGGAAUGUUAUACAUAUGAGUAUUAAUCGUUAACAUUAAG
Molecule: RNA transcript, 6031 nt
Organism: Camponotus floridanus (Florida carpenter ant)
Lineage: Eukaryota; Metazoa; Arthropoda; Insecta; Hymenoptera; Formicidae
Gene: Shal
Gene name: potassium voltage-gated channel protein Shal
Exons: 7
Source: RefSeq, a predicted model, not a curated record